RNAcentral lists this unclassified non-coding RNA (273 nucleotides) under fungal sp. Its description in RNAcentral is "partial internal transcribed spacer region". The stretch from base 1 to 46 matches the Rfam family "Eukaryotic small subunit ribosomal RNA", at positions 1786 to 1831 of the family's 1831-position model. Lineage: Eukaryota; Fungi. The record is from RNAcentral.
AAGUCGUAACAAGGUUUCCGUAGGUGAACCUGCGGAAGGAUCAUUAUCGAAUAAACUGACGACGGUUGAGCUGGCACUGCAGGUGCUCGCCGUCUGUCUAUUUAUCUCUUCUCCUCCUGUGCACCCCUUUGUAGAUAGCUCGUAGACGGGAAACUGUCGAAAGGCUUUCUAUGUUACUCUCAUUCACUCAAGUAUGUAACCAGAAUGUAAUCAAUGGGCCUUUGUGCCUAUAAAAAAGUUAUACAACUUUCAGCAACGGAUCUCUUGGCUCUC